This 403-nucleotide ribosomal RNA is filed under the name bacterium. Its description in RNAcentral is "partial 16S ribosomal RNA". It matches the Rfam family "Bacterial small subunit ribosomal RNA", at positions 355 to 776 of the family's 1533-position model. The record is from RNAcentral.
UGGGGAAUAUUGCACAAUGGGGGAAACCCUGAUGCAGCGACGCCGCGUGAACGAAGAAGGUAUUCGUAUCGUAAAGUUCUGUCCUAUGGGAAGAUAAUGACAGUACCAUAGAAGAAAGCUCCGGCUAAAUACGUGCCAGCAGCCGCGGUAAUACGUAUGGAGCGAGCGUUGUACGGAAUUAUUGGGCGUAAAGGGUACGCAGGCGGUUUAAUAAGUCGAAUGUUAAAGAUCGGGGCUCAACCCCGCAAAGCAUUGGAAACUGAUAAACUUGAGUAGUGGAGAGGAAAGUGGAAUUCCUAGUGUAGUGGUGAAAUACGUAGAUAUUAGGAGGAAUACCAGUAGCGAAGGCGACUUUCUGGACACAAACUGACGCUGAGGUACGAAAGCGUGGGGAGCAAACAGG